AUGCAACGUAUGGCCACAUCAUACUUCAAGGAGGUCUAUACGAAAGAUCCAACUCUCACUCCGGAGAGUGUUUUGGAGGGUAUCGCAUCUAAAGUAACUCAAGGUAUGAACGAUACCCUAUGUGCUCCCUUCUCGGAGGAGGAGGAGGUAUCAAAUGCCCUCUUUCAAAUCGGCCCGCUUAAAGCGCCAGGAACGGACGGCCUCCCGGUGAGGUUCUUUCAACGAAACUGGGCCACGCUGAAAUCUGAAAUCAUAGCUGCUGUGAUGGAGUUCUUUAAGUCAGGAGAUAUGCCGGAGGGGGUGAACGAUACGGCUAUCGUUCUUAUUCCGAAAAUUCCUUUUCCAAAGGAACUCAAGGAUUUUAGACCGAUAAGCUUGUGUAACUUCAUAUACAAGAUUGUUUCAAAAUGCCUUGUGAACAGACUAAGGCCGUUGCUUGCGGAGCUCAUCUCAGAGAACCAGAGUGCCUUCGUUCCAGGGAGGCUUAUCAUUGACAAUUCUAUUAUUGCUUUUGAGUGCCUUCAUCACAUACAAUCACUGAAACAAAACAGACCCGCGGCGUGUGCCUACAAGCUUGACUUGUCGAAGGCAUAUGACCACGUGGAUUGGGACUUCUUGGAGAAGGCACUAGGGAGAUGGGGCUUUGCCCAACAGUGGACUGCAUGGAUUAUGGAGUGUGUGAAAUCAGUAAAAUAUUCGGUUAAAUUCAAUGGACAAUUGCUUGAGAGUUUCAUACCCUCGAGAGGAUUAAGGCAAGGUGAUCCUUUGUCGCCGUUCUUAUUUCUUUUUGUUGCUGAUGCCCUUUCUGCCCUGUUCUCGAAAUCAGUGAAGGAAGGCUCGCUAAAGGGGAUGGCUAUAUGUCGUGGUGCACCGGUUAUUUCUCACCUGUUAUUUGCAGAUGAUACUAUGUUGCUUUUUGAGGCGUCUGGCGAGCAAGCGAGCAUUGUGAAGGGGUUGUUGAACACUUAUACUUCUGCGACGGGUCAACUUAUUAACCCAGAGAAGUGUUCCAUCCUUUUUUCUGACAACUGCUCGGAUGCGGUGGCGGAUGAAGUCAAAAGCACCCUCGAGGUUACGCAGCAGGUGUUCGAGCCAAAGUACCUUGGCCUUCCGGUGCCAGAGGGAAGAGUGCACAAGGGACAAUUUGAAUCUCUUCAGGAGAGAUUGAGGAAGAGAUUGAUUGAUUGGAGUGAACAGUUUGUCUUGGCGGGGAACAAGGAAAUUUUGAUCAAGGUGGUGGCACAAGCUAUACCUACAUAUGUCAUGAGUGUGUUUCGGCUACCGGCCUCUGUUUGCGAUGACUUAACGCGUAUGAUGAGGCAAUACUGGUGGGGAGUGGAGAAUGGUAAAAGGAAAAUGGCAUGGCUCAGUUGGGAGAAGAUGAUUUUGCCCAAGGAUAUGGGAGGAAUAGGUUUUAGAGAUAUGAGAUCUUUUAAUCAGGCGCUACUCGCGAAGCAAGCCUGGAGAUUGCUUGACAGUCCGGACAGUUUGUGCGCCCGUUUACUCCGGGCCAAAUAUUACCCCAAUGGUAACUUGCUUGAUACCGUCUUUCCUUCAAAUUCGUCGGCUAUGUGGAAAGGCAUCAUGCAUGGACUUGAUCUAUUG
This 1605-nucleotide ribosomal RNA is filed under the name Triticum aestivum (bread wheat). RNAcentral describes it as "partial small subunit ribosomal RNA". Lineage: Eukaryota; Viridiplantae; Streptophyta; Magnoliopsida; Poales; Poaceae. The record is from RNAcentral.